GCUAGAGGACCCAAGAAGGCUGAGUCUGAUGAAGCAAGACUUUGCUGAUACAUUCCUAGACAGAGUGGUAGAGAGAGCAGCCCUUAUAGGAGAAAGCCACAGGGCUGACUGUACUACCCAACGUUU
Non-coding RNA from Cricetulus griseus (Chinese hamster), 126 nucleotides. Ensembl annotates it as small Cajal body-specific RNA 4. Lineage: Eukaryota; Metazoa; Chordata; Mammalia; Rodentia; Cricetidae. The record is from Ensembl.